GGCGGGGGGGAGGGUCCCUCAGCCUGGAUUGUGAGAGGGCACAGGCCAGGCCAAGGGACCCCACCGGUGCACA
RNAcentral lists this microRNA precursor (73 nucleotides) under Myotis lucifugus (little brown bat). Its description in RNAcentral is "mir-9193 microRNA precursor family". It matches the Rfam family "mir-9193 microRNA precursor family". The record is from Rfam by way of RNAcentral. Lineage: Eukaryota; Metazoa; Chordata; Mammalia; Chiroptera; Vespertilionidae.